AAAGCAGAGAUUGUGUGUAUCGGCUUAGUGCGAUCUAAUGCGCUUUGUACGAAAGAUUUCUCUGCGAAAUCAAUUUGGGGCAGAUGGGCAGUUGUGAUUCAUUUUGUUAAUUGAAUAGCUCAACAAUCAUCUUCCCCACAAUU
Molecule: non-coding RNA, 143 nt
Organism: Arabidopsis suecica
Lineage: Eukaryota; Viridiplantae; Streptophyta; Magnoliopsida; Brassicales; Brassicaceae
Source: the annotation of a GenBank genome assembly